UGUAAUUACUACUUGGUAGUUUAAAUUUCUAGGUAGAAUUUUGAUAAUGACAUUAUCUAUCUAUAUGUCUUGACCAAAUUACGUGCCAGCAGUCGCGGUAAGACGUAGAAGACGAGUGUUAUUCAUCUUUAUUAGGUUUAAAGAGUACCAAGACGGUCAAUAAAGCCCAAAAUACAUGAACACGGGGGACACAUUGACUAGAGUUAUAUGAAAAGAAGCUGUAAAGUACUGUUUGUUUAGAGUUGAUAUUCUUUUAUACUAGAUAAUUGGCACAGAUUAAUGCGAAGGCAUCUUCUUAUGUAAUAACUGACGUUGUAGGACGAAGGCUUUUGAAGUGAGCGGGAUUAGUCACCCCGGUAAUCUAAGCAGAAAAUGAUGAAUGUCAUAGGUUAAAUAGGCAGUAAACAAAGUAGCACUGCAAUACAUUUGGUCUAUAAAUGAAAGUGUAAGCAUUCCACCUCAAGAGUAAUAUGGCAACAUUGAAACUGAAAUCAUUAGACCGUUUCUGAAACCAGUAGUGAAGUAUGUUGUUUAAUUAGAUGAUACACAAAAAACCUUACCACCAUUGAUUUAUGUUUGAAAAAAUACUAUCUCAAUUUAUACUUGAAUAAUAUUUUUAAAGAUAUAUACAAGUGCUGCACGGCUGUCUUCAGUUAAUGUCGUGAGACUGUGGUUAGUUCCACAAAAUUAACGUAAACCCUCACUUUAUUUAUAAAUAAAGUU
RNAcentral lists this ribosomal RNA (723 nucleotides) under Pseudocyphellaria aurata. RNAcentral's name for it is "SSU rRNA". It matches the Rfam family "Bacterial small subunit ribosomal RNA", at positions 424 to 1132 of the family's 1533-position model. The record is from RNAcentral. Lineage: Eukaryota; Fungi; Ascomycota; Lecanoromycetes; Peltigerales; Lobariaceae.